AACCUCGUGGGCUACGACAGUUCGGCCAUUUCCUCCUUGAGCUUUGUGGAGAUGCAUUGGAGACCUGUGCCGGGAAAGAAUGCGGGUGAAUUAUACAAGCCUCCAUGAGGGGGUCUGGCCCCUGACUUGAAGUCAAGACGAAGACAUUAUUGAUGAAUUGACACAAGUCAUAAGGACUGGAUUCUCUGAACAGGCUUCUAUGUGUGCUGGUCCGUUAUAAAGAUGAGGUUGCAUUUACUAGGGAACUUGACAAAGGGUGAAAAAGGAGCAUCCCAGAAUAUUCCACAGCCGCAACUAAAGAUUACAUGUCUAUGCAGACACUCCAGCCAAGCAAUCUGUUUUGAGUCUUCAGUUUCAUACUUUAGUUAUAAUAAUCUGUAUAUAUUGUACUGGUUAUUUGUCAUUAGGCAUUUACUAAUAAAAUUCUACUUUUAAAUAACUUAA
Molecule: long non-coding RNA, 444 nt
Organism: Hyla sarda
Lineage: Eukaryota; Metazoa; Chordata; Amphibia; Anura; Hylidae
Exons: 6
Source: RefSeq, a predicted model, not a curated record